This 380-nucleotide ribosomal RNA is filed under the name uncultured Anoxybacillus sp. RNAcentral's name for it is "bacterial SSU rRNA". It matches the Rfam family "Bacterial small subunit ribosomal RNA", at positions 1000 to 1382 of the family's 1533-position model. The record is from RNAcentral. Lineage: Bacteria; Bacillati; Bacillota; Bacilli; Caryophanales; Anoxybacillaceae.
GGUGAGAGCCGAGGUGCUCGGAGCCAGAACACAGGUGCUGCAUGGCUGUCGUCAGCUCGUGUCGUGAGAUGUUGGGUUAAGUCCCGCAACGAGCGCAACCCUCGACCUUAGUUGCCAGCAUUCAGUUGGGCACUCUAAGGUGAACUGCCGGCUAAAAGUCGGAGGAAGGUGGGGAUGACGUCAAAUCAUCAUGCCCCUUAUGACCUGGGCUACACACGUGCUACAAUGGGCGGUACAAAGGGUCGCGAACCCGCGAGGGGGAGCCAAUCCCAAAAAGCCGCUCUCAGUUCGGAUUGCAGGCUGCAACUCGCCUGCAUGAAGCCGGAAUCGCUAGUAAUCGCGGAUCAGCAUGCCGCGGUGAAUACCGGUUCCCGGGCCUU